This is a long non-coding RNA of Gigantopelta aegis, 1021 nucleotides long. RefSeq lists it as uncharacterized. The transcript has 5 exons. NCBI's taxonomy places the organism in Eukaryota, Metazoa, Mollusca, Gastropoda, Neomphalida, Peltospiridae. The record is from RefSeq and is a predicted model, not a curated record.
AACCACAACUUCUCUUGAACAAGAACAUUCACUCAGGUUCUGGGUUUUUUUUUUUUUUUUAAAUCAUUCUGGAAAUACCAUUUCCACACAGAAUUAUCACCUAAUCAAUAGGCUUGACAAUUUCACUGUGAAACAUUAAAAGAGAGAGAGAAUCUACUGAUAGUAUGAAAUAGCUUCUCUACUGUAGUGCAGCAGUCUAAUGGGUUGUUAUUGGCACCUAUCGGAUGUUUACUGGAAUGGACUAUAACUGAUCAGGCAGGAGAUCAAUGCAAUAUAUUUGGUGCCGCAAAAAGCCACAAUCGAGGCGGGUCAUUUUAUACUAGCAGCGACUUUAUGUCAUGUCUUCGAACAAGUGCAGGAUAAAGGAUUUCCCAUCGUUCAAUACUGUGUCACGGUGGGACCUCUAAUACAGAUGGAAUAUGGCAUUCUAUAGGUCUGGUGACUAAUGACUCAAAGUAAUGCUGCACCGAUUACCUGGCUGAACGAUUCCCAUUACAGCAUUUUCAAGGAAACAUCUCAAAAUUGGAUAAAAGAAAACUUGUUUCAGUGGAGCGCUGACUUGGUAUGAUUUCCUUGUACAAGACUUUCCUAUAGACAAGACAGUACAUACCGAUGCACCAGUCAUGAGCACUGUUUGGGGUGGACAAAAAACGAUUCCAUUGGUGACGAUGAUUAUCGAUUCCGAGAUCCGUCCCACUUCAGCCGAGCUAUACUCCACCUCACUACACAUUUGGAGAGAGGGGUCUGGAUUUAACCAUCGGCGACACCAUUCGUAGAACAAAGGCGGACGAUGAGGAGAAAAAAUGCUGCUCUUCGCCGAUGACCCUGCUGGCCUCUGGUGCGAUUUCGUGUAGAAUGACAAACAAUAACACAACUGAUUAAAGAUGGACAAUUCAUUCUAGUCAUUGCUGGGCUUAAAAACAGGGGAACAAAUUUCAUAACCACAAUUUUGUUUUCCAAUGUAUGCAGAUUGCGUUUAUGUAGAUUUUAAACGUCUAAAUGCAUAAAUGUUGACAUCUUU